RNAcentral lists this non-coding RNA (29 nucleotides) under Rattus norvegicus (Norway rat). Lineage: Eukaryota; Metazoa; Chordata; Mammalia; Rodentia; Muridae. The record is from RNAcentral.
UUCAUGAUUCUGACUGACACUUGGUUGCU